GACAGCCGGCAGGGUGCUCUUCCUGGUUGCUUGUGCUAAGGCACAGAGUGAAAUAUUAUGCUCCUUUCUAGAAAAGCAAAGGAUGCAAUGCUUCUCUAUGAGAGGCACUGCAGGGCUGUGCAGCAAUUGAUACGCAUGUGGCCUGUGUCCCAGAGCUGAGGUUGGUUAACUCUUCAUAGCUUUAUGGUAAAGAUGAAUGUCAUUAAUUUCUAUAUUUCUGAUAGUCAUCCAUUUAAACUUAGAAUAUCAGACUUUUCUAGGUGUUUAGAUUCCUGCACCUCUUAUCUUAUCAUGGCAGUGAAU
Molecule: non-coding RNA, 303 nt
Organism: Pelobates cultripes (western spadefoot toad)
Lineage: Eukaryota; Metazoa; Chordata; Amphibia; Anura; Pelobatidae
Source: the annotation of a GenBank genome assembly